This 3928-nucleotide long non-coding RNA is filed under the name Mytilus galloprovincialis (Mediterranean mussel). The record is from RNAcentral. Lineage: Eukaryota; Metazoa; Mollusca; Bivalvia; Mytilida; Mytilidae.
CAGCAAUAAUGUUCAGCAAAGUUAGAUUUACAAAUAAGUCAACAUGACUGAAAUGGUCAGUUGACCCCUUAAGGAGUUAUUGCCCUUUAUAGUCAAUUUUUAACCAUUUUUCAUAAAUCUAAGUAAUCUUUUACAAAAAUCUUCUCCUCUGAAACUAAUGGGCCAAAUUAAUCCAAAGUUGGCCACAAUCAUCUUUGGGGUAUCUAGUUUAAAAAAUGUGUGGCGUGACCCAGUCAACCAACCAAGAUGGCUGCCACGGCUAAAAAUAGAACAUAGGGGUAAAAUGCAGUUUUUGGCUUAUAACUCAAAAACCAAAACUUUUAGAGGAAAUCUGACAUGGAGUAAAAAUGUUUAUCAGGUCAAGAUCUAUCUGCCCUGAAAUUUUCAGAUGAAUCGGUCAACCUGUUGUUGGGUUGCUGCCCUGAAUUGGUAUUUUUGAGGAAAUUUUUGCCGUUUUUGGUUAUUAUCUUGAAUAUUAUUAUAGAUAGAGAUAAACUGUAAACAGCAAUAAUGUUCAUCAAAGUAAGAUUUACAAAUAAGUCAACAUGACCGAAAUGGUCAGUUGACCCCUUUAGGAGUUAUUGCCCUUUAUAGUCAAUUUUUAACCAUUUUUUGUAAAUCUUAGUUAUCUUUUACAAAAAUCUUCUCCUCUGAAACUACUGGGCCAAAUUAAUUCAAACUUGGCCACAAUCAUCUUUGAGGUACCUUGUUUGAAAAAUGUGUCCGAUGACCUGGCCAUCCAACCAAGAUGGCCACCACGGCUUAAAAUAGAACAGGGGUAAAAUGUAGUUUUUUGCUUAUAACUCUGAAACCAAAAUCAUUUAGAGGAAAUCUGACAAGGAGUUAAAUUGUUAAUCAAGUCAAUAUAUAUCUGCCCUGAAAUAUUCAAAUCAAUUGGACAACCAGUUGUUGGGUUGCUGCCCUCCAAUUGGUAAUUUUUAAAGAAAUUUUGCUGUUUUUGGUUAUUAUCUUGAAUACUAUUAUAGAUAGCGAUAAACUGUAAACAGCGAUAAUGUUCAUCAAAGUAAGAUCUACAAAUAAGUCCACAUGACCUAAGUGGUCAAUUGACCCCUUAAGGAGUUAUUGCCCUUUAUAGUCAAUUUUUAACAAUUUUCAUUAAUUUGGUAAAUUUAUGUAAAUUUUUACCAAAUAUUUUUCUCUGUUACUAAUGGGCAAAGUUCAUUAUAGAUAUAAUUGUAAGAAGCAAGAAUGUUCAGUAAAGUAAGAACUUCAAACACAUCACCAUCACCAAAAUACAAUUUUGUCAUGAAUCCAUUUGUGUCCUUUGUUUAAUAUGCACAUAGACCAAGGUGAGCGACACAGGCUCUUUAGAGCCUCUAGUUUUCUUUCGUUAAAUUUUCAAACAUCAUUCAUAAAAAGCUAGAUAAUGUGCACUUUUAACUUAGUUUUGUUGUAAUUUCACAAAUGCCAUAUUGGCAUACAAUGCACUCCUAAUGCAACUGUUUUUGAAAAUAUCUGACAAAAUCUUUUAGUUCACAGUUUGAUUGAAUUUUAUAAAGCAUUCAUUAUUAGCAUUUUAGGAGGUAAAUUUCUCAGAAUUUGAUUGCUUGUGAUAAUGAAUAUAUGUGUUAUGUAAAAAAUCAAGCAUGAGAAAUCAAAUGAGUUCAUUAAUCUUCGACUUAUAUCAUAUUUUCAUGUCACUUCACUGUAAAAAAAUAUUUUGUUCAUUAACUUGAAGAUUGUAUUUUUAUUUGUAUAUUAUGCUGACAUAUUUAAUCAGUCGUGAUGCUUUUUAGUUUGUAUGUGACAACCUUUAGAAAUAGGACUGUUUAUCUUGUUGCUUUGGUUAAAUGUUUAAGUUUUAUGUCCUUUUGUGUCCAUCUAGCAUUAACAUGGCUCUGUUUAAAGGCAAUUUGAAAUAUUCCUGAUUCAUAAGUGUCCUAAUCUUUUUAACUGACUGUUAAAAGUAAAAUUUAUGCUUAUGAGUUUCUGAGAACCUGUUUUUGGAAGUCUGAAUAAAAUUAAUUGAAAAAGCACCUAGCAACAAUGUCUUUUUGAAACAAAUACUAAAACCUUGACAUGAGAUUAUGGAGAUCUAAGGGGACUUUGUAACAUUAUCUUGUUAUAAUCAAAGGAUUUUAUACCUGGUUGAAGUUUAAAUUAUAAAUAAUUCUGGAAGCAUACAAUAUUUUGAAUGUAAUAUUUACAUUUAUUUUAAUAUCAUAAUAAAAAUGUUCUACUUAAGGAAUAUAUUUAAAGAAUUUUUUUUUUAUGUCAAGGACUUUCUAUUUGAUAAACAGUCCAGAUGGAACAAUAAUUCUGUACAUUCAUUGUAGUAUACUAUAGUAUUUGUAUUAAAAAUGCUUUAUUGAACUAAUCAGAACUUAAAUUGGUGUUUAUACAAUUCACUGGAAAACCAGACAUCUAUGUUUUGUUUUCUUUCAUUUUCUUUCUUGGUUUCUUAAUUUACUGGAUUGAGUUGCAAGUUUAAUUCUCCUCAAAUAUAAAUAUGUUUACAAAUUUGAGAUGAGAGAGAGAGAGAAAGAUAUUCCCAAAAGCAUUGAUGUAGAAUGUACUUUGAAUGAUACUUUUGAAAAGUGUUAAACAUGCAGCGUACUGAAGGAAUAACAGAAGGUUUGUUUGGUACCAAUAAUUUAUAAUUAAUUAACAAUUAUCUAAGAAAAAUUGAAAAAAAAAUCAGUUUAUUUAUUAAUUAAUUUUAUUUUUGCUUUGUGCAUCAAGUUGGUAUUAUGCCUUUUUUUUUCAACAGCAAUGAAUUAACAUUUAGAAAAAUAAAGUAUUAUUCUCAGUUCUCUAUGAUGGGUAAAAUUAAAAUCCCCAAUAAAAUAUGGAAGUGACUGGAAACAAAUUAAAGUAUGUUAAUAUUGUUACAUAAUAUUUUUUUUAAAGUGGUCUGUUUGUUUGGCAAUUUUGUUGAUAAACAUAAGUUUUCUUCAAUUAGGCAUUUUAAAGCCAAGUUAUUUAGACAUAUUUCUUGAAAUGAAGAAGAAAUGUAGAUAGUUAAAUAUCUGUUGGUGGGUGCUGAAGGUUUUCUUAAAUGCUUUUUAUGAAUUUCAUACAUGUUUAAAGGAACAUGAACUGAUCUCAAUCUGGGAUUGGGGUAAAGUAAUAGAAUAGUUGAAUGUAUUUCUUCCAGAGUUUUUUUCUACAAUAUUUUCCUUGUUUGUGAUGACAGUGCUAUUGUUAUUAUAUGUUGAGAGUUGUUACUUGUUAACUGUCAAACAUACAGAUACAUGUAUAUAACUGUAGUGCUUUGUUUACAUUACAUUUUGGCCUGUUUAUAUACAGCAAUAAUAUUGAUCACCAUAACAAGCCUUGGAGAACAGUUGACCAUCUAUUCACCUUGAUGUGCUAUGUAGAAAGGAAUGGUCAGACAACACAAAUAACCUAUGUGCUUAAUAGGAUUUGUUAGGACUUAAACUACUAUUUGUAUGUUAAUCUAAAUAUGUUAUUUACAACAUAAAUGAAUUGUUUUCCUUCUUGUUAGUUUCAGCGUUACAUUAUUGUGUUUUAAAUACUGUUAAUUCAUUAUUAUUCAUGAGUUAUCAAUUUCUGUGGAUUUCAUAGUUAAAGGUGAACCACUAAUUUAAAUGUUCAACGAAUUACAAAAUUUCUAUACACUUAAAGCAGACUUUGGCAAAACUACAAAGUCAAAUAUUGACAAAAAUACAAUUUUUUACUUAAUCAAUCCACAAAAAUUGUAACCCAUGAAAACCACUAAAUUCACAGGACAUUAAAUAUAUUUGUUUGGUCUCUGUUUUGUAAAAAUUUUCCCUUCCAUAAACCCUAGAACAUUUGAUCAUUUGAUAUAAAUAUGGAUGAAAUGUUCUGUAAACAUUGCAUUGUUUGUAUGUUUUGGAAAUUAUUGUAUUUUGUGUGUGUAAGCAUGAUGAUACUGAGAAGCUUGUACACCAAAAUAUUUGUAAUAAAUUGAAAUGAAAACUUG